AGUGAACGCUGGCGGUAGGCCUAACACAUGCAAGUCGAACGGCAGCACAGUAAGAGCUUGCUCUUACGGGUGGCGAGUGGCGGACGGGUGAGGAAUACAUCGGAAUCUACUUUUUCGUGGGGGAUAACGUAGGGAAGCUUACGCUAAUACCGCAUACGACCUACGGGUGAAAGCAGGGGAUCUUCGUACCUUGCGCGAUUGAAUGAGCCGGUGUCGGAUUAGCUAGUUGGCGGGGUAAAGGCCCACCAAGGCGACGAUCCGUAGCUGGUCUGAGAGGAUGAUCAGCCACACUGGAACUGAGACACGGUCCAGACGCCUAAGGGAGGCAGCAGUGGGGAAUAUUGGACAAUGGGCGCAAGCCUGAUCCAGCCAUACCGCGUGGGUGAAGAAGGCCUUCGGGUUGUAAAGCCCUUUUGUUGGGAAAGAAAAGCAGCAGGUUAAUACCCCGCUGUUCUGACGGUACCCAAAGAAUAAGCACCGGCUAACUUCGUG
Molecule: ribosomal RNA, 492 nt
Filed under: uncultured bacterium
Lineage: Bacteria
Description: partial 16S ribosomal RNA
Rfam family: Bacterial small subunit ribosomal RNA
Source: RNAcentral